AAUGUCGUAACAAGGUUUCCGUAGGUGAACCUGCGGAAGGAUCAUUUAACAAAGUAAAUGGCUGGUACGGAAGUGGGGUUCCUUUGAUCUGUAAGUGGUAGAGCUGAAGCAGUCCCGGCUGCCUCCCGAAAUGUUUACCAUGUCCCCCACAGCCUGAAGGCCGAAAUUUACAACCCUGAUUAUCUACACUUGUUGCUUUGGGGGAUGCUUCAAAGGUGCCCCCAGAGGACCCAACUCUCUUGCAUUUUAGGACCGUCUGAGUACUAUAUAAUAUUUGAAAAG
Molecule: unclassified non-coding RNA, 282 nt
Filed under: plant metagenome
Description: partial contains small subunit ribosomal RNA and internal transcribed spacer 1
Rfam family: Eukaryotic small subunit ribosomal RNA (bases 1-47)
Source: RNAcentral